Amphiprion ocellaris (clown anemonefish) is the source of this 1991-nucleotide long non-coding RNA. Lineage: Eukaryota; Metazoa; Chordata; Actinopteri; Pomacentridae. The record is from Ensembl.
UUUCUGUCCUGCAAAGCUCUUUAGCAGUCUUACCCUCGUGUGCCAAAGGCUGUGAGAAUGAAGUGUGGGUGUUUGUGCGUACCUGUGAGACUUGUGCGAGUGGACAGACUCAACACUGUGUUCAACUGUCCUUCCCCUGAGCAGCCCCUGCUGCAGCGCAUCCCUGAUCACUCGGACCUGUUCCUGUGUGGAUUUAACUUUCCUUCAGCAGGACUGAGGAAAACAACUGCAAACCAAGGAGAACAUUCAGGAUCAAUAAAGACACCAGAGGAAUACUGAUCAAGAUGUUGAUCACCAUGCUAACUGCCAUGUACAUGAUGGUCAGAGUGGUAGAAUCGAUAGGCAUGCGAUUUGCACAGCAACAGGAACCUUUGCCUUACAUGGUGUCUCAGCCGCUGCCUUGGCAGGUUCACUCUGUGUCACACAGCCGGAGGAGCAGUAAAGCAGAAGAGUUUGAUGGCCUCAGGAGAAACAGCAUAGGCGUGUAUAGAAAGAACUAUGUCUCCAUGGCUAUUGCCUCUGCCUCUCUGGCUAUCCCCUGUGUCCUAUCGUGCUCAGACUCCAAUGCCAGCAAUGGGAAUUGCACUGCACCUCCUGCUCCUCCGCUCAGCCCUGUUGAAGCUGAGAAGGCCGCUGCUACCAUUCAGACCCAUUUCAGGAAGUUUCAACAGAAGAAACAGAAGAACGGCAAGUAGACGGAUGAAGAGGGAGGGUGGUGCUGAUGGAACAAGUCUGAGAGACAGCAAGAAGAAAGUUUGGCCUGUGUGUAUUCACCAAAAAAUAGAUGGACUCUGUGAUGACAUACACAAAUGCAUAUGUAUGUUCAUAUGCAAAUGUACAUACAUUCAAAUUUAUUUAUAUCUCCCUGGACUAGUGAUUCAGAAUAAACAGUAACUUAGUUGACAUUUGAAACACUGCUUAUAAUGCACUAUUUAAAAUUCUAUGUGAACAGAAAUGUGAAUAUACUGUAUAUCUGAAUGGAUAGUUUUGAUGUGUUGUAAAGGCAGAGCGACCGUGAGAAUGUGUGUGACUGUGAGCAUGCUGUAAUUUAUAUAUUAUUACUGUUUUGAGUGUGUAAAUGUGGAAAAAUAAAAUCAUUUGUCAACAUUUCUGUUGUUUGACAAACUAAAUUUGGUUCAAACAUUUCAAUAAACUCAUCUGUCAGCAUGUGUUGUUUCAUAGCAGCAUGUUGCCCUCUAGUGUUUUGAUUAGUUUCUGAAUCUCAUUUUGAAUGAGCAGUAUAUUUUCAAUUCAUAAUGCAAUAGUAGCCUCAAAACUCCACAUUCAGGUUCUUGCUGUUCUUUUUUUUUUUUUUUUUUAAAGAAUACGUUAAUUUUUAAGUGGCUUUAUGGAGGCACUGAAUUAAAUUAGAUGCUCAUUACUAUAAUUGUUGUAAUCACAAUUUUACAAAAUAAUAAGCGGCUGUUCGCUCAUUCAGAGCAAAGCAGCAACCAAUCAAAUAACCUUGCUGCAUUUGUCUUGAUUGAAAAGAUUUGAUGAAAAGAAACAUUAUGAAGUAAAACUGGAGCUGAGCUAAAAACACUGUUUAAAAUAAAAUCUGCCACUACAGGAGAAACAAGAUUAUUUUACCGGUUGAUUUUGAAACAAAAUGACAGUAUUAGAAUUUUCUACAGUUUCAUGGUUAUAGUCUACACUUUGUCAAUAUUUAAUCAAAUAAUUACCUGCCACUUAACUUUAAACACUUUGGAUUUUUAUAAGGGGCUGACAAGUUGAAGACAACGUAAACAAUAAAUGUUUAAAUGCUCUUUUAAGCUCCCAAGCAGCAAAUUUGUUGUAUUUUGUUGUGUGUGGGUGGCACUGUCGCCUUUCAGAAAAAGAGUCCUGGGUUCAAAUCUGUGUUUCUGUAUGACGUUUGCAUGUUCACUUCCAGCAACAGACAUAUAAAGUUGGUAAUUCUAAACUGAGUUUAGCGUGCUUCGUGUCUCUCUCUCUCUUUAUGCCAGCUGAAAUAGACUCCAGCCUCCCUGUAA